GCUUGACUAGCUGAGAGGAGGUGCAUGGCCGUCGUCAGUUCGUACUGUGAAGCAUCCUGUUAAGUCAGGCAACGAGCGAGACCCACGCCAACAGUUGCCAGCAUGUCCUCCGGGAUGGUGGGGACACUGUUGGGACCGCCUCUGCUAAAGAGGAGGAAGGAAUGGGCAACGGUAGGUCAGCAUGCCCCGAAUUAUCCGGGCUACACGCGGGCUACAAUGGUCAGGACAAUGGGCAUCAACACCGAAAGGUGAAGGCAAUCUCUUAAACCUGUCCUUAGUUCGGAUUGUGGGCUGCAACUCGCCCACAUGAAGCUGGAAUCUGUAGUAAUCGCGUCUCAAAAUGGCGCGGUGAAUAUGUCCCUGCUCCUU
Molecule: ribosomal RNA, 369 nt
Filed under: uncultured Methanolinea sp.
Lineage: Archaea; Methanobacteriati; Methanobacteriota; Methanomicrobia; Methanomicrobiales; Methanoregulaceae
Description: bacterial SSU rRNA
Rfam family: Archaeal small subunit ribosomal RNA
Source: RNAcentral